UCUCAAAAACACUGGCGAUAACAGGUGAUGAAGAAACUGUGGCUCAGACAGGUGAGGUCCCUUCCCAAGGACGCAUAUCCAGGGACUGGCACAGAAGGGAAGCCAACCCAGGACCACCCAGUUCUAGAGUUCAUGGGCUUACCCACUAUUCUAUGAGCCUGACCAAGUGUGAAUGAUGAGUGAAUCAUUGUGUGAAUAACUGACCCAAGUGAUGGAUUUCAUGACUCAUGUAUGGAGUCCAGUGACUCAUUCCUCUUUCCACCAAUGGGCUAACCUGCCUUGUGCUCUGGUUGGAUGUGUGCCCUGGGAGCUAUAGUCCUUACCCAAAGACUUGAACACUGUUGUCUUGUCACAGUGUGCUGGCUUCACUCCCUUCACUACUUCUCCCAGCUCAGCGAAGAUCUCGGCCUGUGAAAUGAACAUACACUGACCCAGGCCAUGGAGCCAAUGUCCACUCCAGCCAGCUCCUGAGGCAGGGCAGGGAGGGCAUCGAGAACCAGCAUCUGCCUUUGUGUUACCAUGAAUGCAGAGAUAUAAGUUUGUGACCAGGGGAAUGUCCAGCCAAGACAAUAGAGCCCAGGAGCAUAAUGAAGAAUCCAAGGAAUCAUGCCUCCUGGCACUGGCAUGUGAGAUAAUGCAGAAGCUGCCAUCAAAUGCCUGCAGGGCCAGGCAGGCUAGGGAAAUAGAAGAGACAUCUUGCCUCAAAAUCAAGACAGCCCUUCCUGGGGAUUCACAGUGUGAGAGAGAUUCUCUAUUGUUGGCUUUGAAGAUGGAGCAUCCACAUUACAAGGAAGGGCUCACAUGUUUCUGAGGACCUUAAAAGGCCUGCUCAUUCUGCAUGAGUAAAACAUCACUGCAGAUGCAGCUGUUCGGUCCAGCCUAGGGACAACUCUGGCCACUGCCUACCCGUGGUUUAUGGAGUUACUCUGCUUACCAUUGAUAUGAGCCCCCGGCUUCACCCAUUCACCAAACAAAAUGGGCUCUGUUGCCAUGGUGACUGUGAUGAUCACAUCUGCACCCGUCACAGCCUCCUGGACUGAUGAACAGACCUGUACUUCUCCUUGAACUGUGUCUGCAAACUUCUCUGCAUUUUCUUUGGUGCGGUUCCAUAUCCUCACCUUCAUUGAAGGGUAACAAGAAGGACAUUGGUGCCAUGAUUGUUUGACUGUUUAUGUUUCAUCAAGCCCAGGGGUACCAGGGGAAAGCUGAACCACUCUGGGGUAAGGGCUGUGGUUGUUUAAAUCACCCCCUAUGGAGAAAGAGCAUUUGAUCAAGGGUACAGCAUUAAUCAGGGAAGACACCUGACCAAAUA
Canis lupus familiaris (dog) is the source of this 1312-nucleotide long non-coding RNA. RefSeq lists it as uncharacterized. The record is from RefSeq and is a predicted model, not a curated record. The transcript is spliced from 5 exons. Lineage: Eukaryota; Metazoa; Chordata; Mammalia; Carnivora; Canidae.